CCAGAUUGAUGAAUUUUUUCAGCCAUGGUGUCUCAGGAAAGACAGAGAAGGACUAAAAUCUAUGUCACUUCGGGGAGGUCCACUGUCAAAAUUUCAGGUCCUUGAAGUGAAAGCUCUGAAGGCACUUUUUGUGUGGGGCUCCAGAGGGCAACAUUAGGUUUAUAAAUUAAGAAACAGAAGCAACUUACAAGAUCAUCCAGUCUAGCCCCUCAUUUUACAGAUGAAGAAACUGAGGCCCAGAGAAGUUGAACGCCCAAGAAUAAGUUUUAAAGACUAGGAUUUAUGCCCAGAUCAUCUGACUCCAAGUGUAGCCCUCUUCCUGCUUCUUAUGUGCCUAAGGUCACAUAAUUAAUAAGUGGCAGAGAAAGAAUUUCAAACCAGAUCUUCUAACUUGAAGUCUAGACAAUCAGCAAAGUUCUGGACCAAGUCCUGAUUUCAAGCAUGUGCCCAUUUGCCAGGUGUAAAUAUUCACAAGGAAAAUGUAACAACUAACUGACUGAGCUGCCUCCAGCACAUCCCUGGCUGCGUGCAAGGAAAGGCAGCCAUGACUACAUCACCACCCAAGAUCAAACCCAUCAAGAGGAAAUGCCAUGUUAACCUCAAAACAAAGAGGAAGAUGGGCAACAAAUAACUUUCUCAGGAU
Molecule: non-coding RNA, 643 nt
Organism: Phascolarctos cinereus (koala)
Lineage: Eukaryota; Metazoa; Chordata; Mammalia; Diprotodontia; Phascolarctidae
Source: RefSeq, a predicted model, not a curated record